RNAcentral lists this ribosomal RNA (274 nucleotides) under uncultured bacterium. RNAcentral describes it as "partial 16S ribosomal RNA". It matches the Rfam family "Bacterial small subunit ribosomal RNA", at positions 523 to 796 of the family's 1533-position model. The record is from RNAcentral.
AUACGAAGGGGGCUAGCGUUGUUCGGAAUCACUGGGCGUAAAGCGCGCGUAGGUGGAUCAAUUAGUUGAGGGUGAAAUCCCGGGGCCCAACCUCGGAACUGCCUUCAAUACUGUUGAUCUUGAGACCGAGAGAGGUGAGUGGAAUUCCUAGUGUAGAGGUGAAAUUCGUAGAUAUUAGGAAGAACACCAGUGGCGAAGGCGGCUCACUGGCUCGGUACUGACGCUGAGGUGCGAAAGCGUGGGGAGCAAACAGAAUUAGAAACCCUAGUAGUCC